Molecule: transfer RNA, 73 nt
Filed under: Camelus bactrianus (Bactrian camel)
Lineage: Eukaryota; Metazoa; Chordata; Mammalia; Artiodactyla; Camelidae
Also listed under: 1 other name
Rfam family: tRNA
About the family: Transfer RNA (tRNA) molecules are approximately 80 nucleotides in length. Their secondary structure includes four short double-helical elements and three loops (D, anti-codon, and T loops).
Source: Rfam by way of RNAcentral
GAGAGUAUAGCUCAAAUGGUAGAGUACAUACCUAAUAGGCACGAGGUCCUGGGUUCAAUCCCCAGUACCUGCG